RNAcentral lists this ribosomal RNA (497 nucleotides) under uncultured bacterium. RNAcentral's name for it is "partial 16S ribosomal RNA". It matches the Rfam family "Bacterial small subunit ribosomal RNA", at positions 28 to 507 of the family's 1533-position model. The record is from RNAcentral.
GAUGAACGCUGGCGGCGUGCCUAAUACAUGCAAGUCGAGCGAACAGACGAGGAGCUUGCUCCUCUGACGUUAGCGGCGGACGGGUGAGUAACACGUGGAUAACCUACCUAUAAGACUGGGAUAACUUCGGGAAACCGGAGCUAAUACCGGAUGAUAUAUUGAACCGCAUGGUUCAAUAGUGAAAGACGGUUUUGCUGUCACUUAUAGAUGGAUCCGCGCCGCAUUAGCUAGUUGGUAAGGUAACGGCUUACCAAGGCAACGAUGCGUAGCGGACCUGAGAGGGUGAUCGGCCACACUGGAACUGAGACACGGUCCAGACUCCUACGGGAGGCAGCAGUAGGGAAUCUUCCGCAAUGGGCGAAAGCCUGACGGAGCAACGCCGCGUGAGUGAUGAAGGUCUUCGGAUCGUAAAGCUCCGUUAGUAGGGAAGAACAAAAGUGUAAGUAUCUAUGCACGUCUUGACGGUACCUAAACAGAAAGCCACGGCUAACUACGUG